This 411-nucleotide ribosomal RNA is filed under the name uncultured microorganism. Its description in RNAcentral is "bacterial SSU rRNA". It matches the Rfam family "Bacterial small subunit ribosomal RNA", at positions 9 to 414 of the family's 1533-position model. The record is from RNAcentral.
GAGUUUGAUCCUGGCUCAGAUUGAACGCUGGCGGCAUGCCUUACACAUGCAAGUCGAACGGCAGCAUGAUCUAGCUUGCUAGAUUGAUGGCGAGUGGCGAACGGGUGAGUAAUACAUCGGAACGUGCCCUGUAGUGGGGAGUAACUAGUCGAAGAUUAGCUAAUACCGCAUACGACCUGAGGGUGAAAGUAGGGGGACCGGCAAGGCCUCAUGCUAUAGGAGCGGCCGAUGUCUGAUUAGCUAGUUGGUGGGGUAAAGGGCCCACCAAGGCGACGAUCAGUAGCUGGUCUGAGAGGACGAUCAGCCACACUGGGACUGAGACACGGCCCAGACUCCUACGGGAGGCAGCAGUGGGGAAUUUUGGACAAUGGGCGAAAGCCUGAUCCAGCAAUGCCGCGUGUGUGAAGAAGG